Molecule: non-coding RNA, 111 nt
Filed under: Paenibacillus sp.
Lineage: Bacteria; Bacillati; Bacillota; Bacilli; Caryophanales; Paenibacillaceae
Also listed under: 1 other name
Description: TPP sequence
Rfam family: TPP riboswitch aptamer (THI element)
About the family: Vitamin B(1) in its active form thiamin pyrophosphate (TPP) is an essential coenzyme that is synthesised by coupling of pyrimidine and thiazole moieties in bacteria. The previously detected thiamin-regulatory element, thi box was extended, resulting in a new, highly conserved RNA secondary structure, the THI element, which is widely distributed in eubacteria and also occurs in some archaea.
Source: RNAcentral
UAUAUGUACCAGGGGUGCUGGAAUUGGCUGGCUGAGAUUGUGUCCCUCUAGACACUGACCCUUAUACCUGAUCUGGAUAAUGCCAGCGUAGGAACGUAACCGAUAUGAUAC